CUUGACUUCAUGUGAAGGGCGUCCAGUUUUGGUUUUGGGUGGACUGUGGGACAGGAUGAAGGUGUCCAGAUAGAGCGACGUCACAGGAAAGAUGAGCCCUGAUUUGGUGGCUGAGUGGGUGGACGAGGACACACACCCCGACCGGCUGGAUGUUUGACUGACGGCGCCUCGCUAUGACUCACUGAUUCGGCUUUUCGUCCCACGCCGAGCUAUCUGCGGAGGCUAAACGGUGAGCCCUGAUCCAGAUUAGCUCCCUCUGUAGUGACCCAAUAAACCGGUCUUUACAUCAGCGUCUGCUAGCAGCCCGACGUCCUUCCGUCUGGCUGCCGGGGCUGAUUUCAGGGCGGCCGCUGGGUAAUUGUUUUGAGUUGCCAAAUUGCAACAGGAGGGAUUGGAUUACGUACCACCAGCGUGGCCCCCGCCGGCCUCGCUUCCCCCCGGAUUACAUCAGGUUCCCGUUGCUCUUCCCUCUGACUUCCUGACGACUCCUUCCUGUCAUCCUGACGUCUUCCUGUCAGCUGGUGGCGUUGUGGCGGUGAGGUGAUGCAGGAACUCAUCUGAGACGCUGACCGGAAGAAGAGGAAGCCGCCUGGCCGGACGCCAGCGAGGAUCAGGACAGCCGGAGACGUCAGAGCUUCAGACGGAAAACAAAAGUUCGUACGAUGACAGAAACGAGUCACUGGAAACCCUGAAAGCACCUGGGAAUGAUCAAUCUGUACGACUAAAUCUACUGAAAACACUGAGCUCAAAGAUUCAACUUUUAAUCUACAAUCAGGUGUUUUCCUUCAUUACACUUUAUUUUAGAACAGGGGUGUCCAACAUGAGGCCCACGGGCCAAAAGCAGUCCUCCAGAGGGUCCAAUCCGGCCCUCAAAGUGUAAAAAUUCCAGAGAAGACAUUAACUGCAGAUUGUAAAUUAGUAAAACUAUAAAUUUAAAAUCAUUUCUAGAACAUGACAAGUUGUUUUGAUCAUAAAGUAAAAUACUAGAUUGUUCAUUUGUCGUUCUAUGUCUUAUUUUUGUAAUAUUUUGUAUUGUUUUUGUUGUUUCUUUGUCUUUUUUUGUUUGACUUUUAUCGUUUGUCUCACGCUUUUGUCAUUGUGUUCUCAUUUUUGUCUCGCUUGUGUUUUUUGUCUCAUUUUCGUCAUUGUGUGUUUUGCUUUAUUCAUUGUUUUCUGUUUUAUUUUGGUCAUUUUUUUGUGUCAUUUUUCCAUUUUUUGUCACUUUGUAACUUUUUUGUCUAUUUUUUCUCAUUUUGUUUCUCGCUUUUGUUGUUUUGUCUCAUUUUUGUAGUAUUUUGUCUUGUUUUUGUUGUUUUUUGUCUUUUCUUGAAGUAAAGUCCUAUAUCAUCAGUUCCAGAUAGGUGACUAAAUGUUGUGUUCCUUUGUCGACACUCAGUGAUGUGGAAGUUGUAAUGUGGAAAUGAUAAACUGA
Molecule: long non-coding RNA, 1432 nt
Organism: Amphiprion ocellaris (clown anemonefish)
Lineage: Eukaryota; Metazoa; Chordata; Actinopteri; Pomacentridae
Source: Ensembl